Molecule: ribosomal RNA, 506 nt
Filed under: uncultured bacterium
Lineage: Bacteria
Description: partial 16S ribosomal RNA
Rfam family: Bacterial small subunit ribosomal RNA
Source: RNAcentral
AGUGAACGCUGGCGGUAGGCCUAACACAUGCAAGUCGAACGGCAGCACAGGAGAGCUUGCUCUCUGGGUGGCGAGUGGCGGACGGGUGAGGAAUACAUCGGAAUCUACUCUGUCGUGGGGGAUAACGUAGGGAAACUUACGCUAAUACCGCAUACGACCUACGGGUGAAAGCAGGGGACCUUCGGUCCUUGCGCGAUUGAAUGAGCCGAUGUCGGAUUAGCUAGUUGGCGGGGUAAAGGCCCACCAAGGCGACGAUCCGUAGCUGAUCUGAGAGGAUGAUCAGCCACACUGGAACUGAGACACGGUACAGACUCCUACGGGAGGCAGCAGUGGGGAAUAUUGGACAAUGGGCGCAAGCCUGAUCCAGCCAUACCGCGUGGGUGAAGAAGGCCUUCGGGUUGUAAAGCCCUUUUGUUGGGAAAGAAAUCCAGCUGGCUAAUACCCGGUUGGGAUGACGGUACCCAAAGAAUAAGCACCGGCUAACUUCGUGCCAGCAGCCGCCGUAA